CGUCAACGUCUCCAGGCAGAAGCCGCCAUUUGUUAUCUCUGAAUGACCAAGAACAGCCAGGCUUCCUGGCCAGCCUGACUUCCUCUGAAGAUGAUGGCGUCAAGGUCUUCAGGUGCGUGUUGCCCUUUUUCAUCUCUGGCCCAGAGCAGCCUGACUUCGUGGGAAGUUGGUGAGCCGAAUUUCAUCAAUGUGGACGAAAGCUGCAUACCUGUGCCAUGGCUAUUGGGAUGGGCUGUCUGCACUGGUCACACUGAACUUGGCGAUAUUGACACUGCUUCACGUGGGAGUCUAGAGAUUUCUGGGGGAGGAUUUCCAUACAUCCAUUGUGCCUGUUUGGGCAUUCAACAGGCUUGAAGCGUGUCAGCUGACUUCGGAAGUAAUGCU
RNAcentral lists this long non-coding RNA (384 nucleotides) under Haliotis rubra (blacklip abalone). RNAcentral describes it as "uncharacterized LOC124267063, transcript variant X2". Lineage: Eukaryota; Metazoa; Mollusca; Gastropoda; Lepetellida; Haliotidae. The record is from RNAcentral.